UUUAAUCGCACUAAGCGGAUCGAACAAAGCGAUCUUAGGAGAAGCAGAUCGUAUCUACGCAAAUUUUAUUUAAACGGAACGCAGUUUCCAACUGUGUUUGCGUCAUGCCAGUGGCACAUUGGAGCGUGAUCGAACCGGGGGGCUUUUUCACCCCGUCACGGUCCAGCGGGGCCAUCAGCCCCGCCCUUACCCCCGAUAAGUUCACCGACCCACGUGCUCGCGUGUGUCGCCUAUAAAAGCUCACUUAGCAUCAGCUUGCACAGCAAUGUUCCUCCGUGAUGGCUGACGAAGAGACGCCGCUCGGGGCCUCCGGAGGGACGUACCGCGGUUGCCGAUCGAACUAGGAAGUCGAGUAACGCCGAGGGGCACCGAUGGAUCGAGUUUAAGUCCUCCUCUCCUUGGGCUUCCAAAACUAGCCAUGGGAAUCGGGAGCCUGGUCGAUGGGACAAUUCAGGCGACGCAGCCGACGGCAGCAGCGUCGGAUCCAUCGGUCGGCCUUCCUCGAUCUCCGGCAACUCGCGAGUCGCAUUGAAACGCUCCAGCCUCAACCGUAUCUACCUCGUUAUCGGCCACACCUUCUUCCAACCGCGUGCCGGGCUUCGCGAAAACAAUCUCGGCCUUCUUGUUC
This is a long non-coding RNA of Ceratina calcarata, 628 nucleotides long. RefSeq lists it as uncharacterized. Lineage: Eukaryota; Metazoa; Arthropoda; Insecta; Hymenoptera; Apidae. The transcript is spliced from 3 exons. The record is from RefSeq and is a predicted model, not a curated record.